CUACGGGGGGCAGCAGUGAGGGAUUUUGCGCAAUGGGGGGAACCCUGACGCAGCAACGCCGCGUGAGUGAAGAAGGCCCUUGGGUCGUAAAGCUCUGUCAACAGGGAAGAAGUUAUGGAUUUUUAAUAGAGAUUUGUAUUGACGGUACCUGUGAAGGAAGCACCGGCUAACUCCGUGCCAGCAGCCGCGGUAAUACGGGGGGUGCAAGCGUUAUUCGGAAUUAUUGGGCGUAAAGGGCGCGCAGGCGGCCUUGUCAGUCAGAUGUGAAAGGCCAGGGCUCAACCCUGGAAGUGCAUUUGAAACAGCAAGGCUUGAGUACGGUAGAGGAAAGGGGAAUUCCUGGUGUAGGGGUGAAAUUCGUAGAUAUCAGGAGGAACACCGGUGGCGAAGGCGCCUUUCUGGACCUGUACUGACGCUGAGGCGCGAAGGCGUGGGUAGCGAACAGGAUUAGAUACCCCUGUAGUC
RNAcentral lists this ribosomal RNA (465 nucleotides) under uncultured bacterium. Its description in RNAcentral is "partial 16S ribosomal RNA". It matches the Rfam family "Bacterial small subunit ribosomal RNA", at positions 339 to 795 of the family's 1533-position model. The record is from RNAcentral.